RNAcentral lists this ribosomal RNA (322 nucleotides) under uncultured eukaryote. Its description in RNAcentral is "partial 18S ribosomal RNA". It matches the Rfam family "Eukaryotic small subunit ribosomal RNA", at positions 1470 to 1796 of the family's 1831-position model. The record is from RNAcentral.
CCCUUAGAUGUUCUGGGCCGCACGCGUGCCACACUGAGUGGAUCAGCGGGUCAGGUUACGCGAGAGCGUUUCCUAAUCUUCAAAUCCGCUCGUGAUGGGGAUUGACGGUUGCAAUUUUCCGUCAUGAACGAGGAAUACCUUGUAAGCGCGGGUCAUCAUCCCGCGCUGAAUACGUCCCUGCCCUUUGUACACACCGCCCGUCGCUCCUACCGAUUGAGUGGUCCGGUGAGGCUUUGGGAUCUAAGCGAAAAGAGCGUUUCGCUCCUUUUGCUGGGAGAACUCAGUCGAACCUUAUCAUUUAGAGGAAGGAGAAGUCGUAACA